This 497-nucleotide ribosomal RNA is filed under the name uncultured bacterium. Its description in RNAcentral is "partial 16S ribosomal RNA". It matches the Rfam family "Bacterial small subunit ribosomal RNA", at positions 28 to 507 of the family's 1533-position model. The record is from RNAcentral.
GAUGAACGCUGGCGGCGUGCCUAAUACAUGCAAGUCGAGCGAACGGACGAGAAGCUUGCUUCUCUGAUGUUAGCGGCGGACGGGUGAGUAACACGUGGAUAACCUACCUAUAAGACUGGGAUAACUUCGGGAAACCGGAGCUAAUACCGGAUAAUAUUUUGAACCGCAUGGUUCAAAAGUGAAAGACGGUCUUGCUGUCACUUAUAGAUGGAUCCGGGCUGCAUUAGCUAGUUGGUAAGGUAACGGCUUACCACGGCAACGAUGCGUAGCCGACGUGAGAGGGGGGUCGGCCACACGGGAACGGGAACACGGUCCAGACGACUACGGGAGGCAGCAGUAGGGAAUCGGACGCAAUGGGCGAAAGCCUGACGGAGCAACGCCGCGUGAGUGAUGAAGGUCUUCGGAUCGUAAAACUCUGUUAUGAGGGAAGAACAGAUGUGUAAGGAACUGUGCAGAGCGUGACGGUACCGAAUCAGAAAGCCACGGCUAACUACGUG